AGCAUCCACAUGCCCUGGGCUCCUGAGCAGUUCCCCCAACAAGGAGACCUUGGCACACACCUGGGGUGGUUGGGAAUGUCACCCUGGGCCGGCUGCUUAACGGAUGUCCCCGAGAUGUCCCUAAUAAAAAAUCCAUAAGCCUCUUGUAAAGGCAAUUCCCCUUCUGGAAGGUGGCGAGGGGGGGACAAUACGUGACCAAACAAGUCACCCAAAGGCGUUGGAAGAGGAAGAGUUGGUUUCCAACGGGUGGGACCAGCCCCUUCCCUCCAUCACGGACUCCUCUCAGCAGCUCCGUGAAGUGUCCCCAGCGAUUUAGGUCCCCUCGGGAAAGAGCAGGUUGACUCUCCUCGGCGUCGAGGGCUUGGGAGGGCCACCAAGUGUCACACAGGAGAAUUUGGGGACCAUCUCUGGGCAGUUUCAUGUGGGUUUUUCCCUGUUUUUUAGGGUUUUUAAAGCCGCUUUAGGAGUUGCAUCCUCAUCUCCCAACGGGAGAGAAGAAGGGGAAAGACUUGGCUCUUGGAAUCACCCUCCCCGUGCUCUGCUUCUUGUAGAUUUGAUGCUCACCUGAUAAAUUAGGCUGCCCCACGUCCGUGGCAUCUUUGCUGAGAGGAUGGGAGGUGGUGGGGGUACUCCAGACACCAAAGCCCCCCCUGGGGAGGAGCAGUGUGGGGCAGGAGGGCGUUAGGAAGCUCUGGGCUGCCCCAAAUCCCCACCACGGGGAGGGUGGAGGGAGAGGUGGGUGAUGGAGCCAGGGGGGUGACCAGGUUUGGUCAAAGCAGCGUGUGACCCCCCCCAGGGUGACAGACCCUCUCGUGUCCCCCCGUUUGCAGCAUGUGGAAGGUCUGAGCCAUCUCCCACCUUCUCUGGGACACCAUGGACACGGAAGCCGUGCAGCCCCAGGAGGCUCCGCUGACGGUCAACGAGCAGGUUAUUGUCAUGUCCAGCCACGAAACCAUCCGGGUGCUGGAGGUCGGCGUGGACGCCCCGCUCCCGGCCGAGGAGGACCGGAAAGCCCCGGGGAUGCCACCAGGGGAGGUAGCACGGGGCUCCCCGGGAGAAACCACCCCCCCGGGCACAGAGGACAUCCCACCCAGCACCCAGAGCUCCUGCAGUGUGGAGACGGCCGGAAAAGCCAAAGUGGCCACCGGAGCGUCCCCCAGCACCGUCUCCCCCCUUGGCACCUUCGGCCACUCCACUAGCCAACAGCCCCAGACGGUGGCCACCCCCCUGGCCGUGCAGGCCACCCCACAGGUAACUACCCCCCUGGCCAACGGAGUGGGAUGGGAGGUGGGGUGGAGGUGGNNNNNNNNNNACUUUAUGCUCCGCUGAUGCUGUUUUGUGCAGUGGCGUUGAUUUCUGUUCUUUUUUAAAUCUUGUUUGCUUUUGCAGGUCUUGACUCAGGAAAACUUAGCAACAGUUGUGACAGGAGUAAUGGUUCCCGCAGGGACAGUUACUCAACCUCUUCUUAUCCCCAUCAGUAUUGCAGGUCAAGUGGCCGGUCAGCAGGGGCUGGCUGUGUGGACAUUUCCUACAGCAACCGUCGCUGCCCUCCCCGGAUUGACGGCUCCUUCUCCUACGGGGGGAAUUUUCAAACAGCCCAUAGCCAAUCUGCAAGGUAAACCCACCCCCCCCCCCCCCCACCACGGCUGCUCUUCGGCCUCGCAGCCUCCUCGAUUCAUCAUCCUCCUCCUCCCCCUUUUAUUUCCCCGUCCCUCGCCCUGGUGCGACUCGAUCUGUGCCCAGUCCAGGCUCCCCUUUUCCUGCAGGUCUGAAAUGGGCAGAAAUUUAAGGAAGGGGGGGUUGGUUUGUGGGAAAAAAGUCCAAGCUUCCCUUUUUCUGUAGGAAGGGUCUGAAACAGCCAGAAAUUUGAGGAAGGGGGAGNNNNNNNNNNGAAGAAUCCCGGCUCCCCUUUUUCUGCAGAAAGGGUCUGAAACAAAAAUUGGAGGAGGGGGGGGGGUGUUGGUCUGUGGGAGAAGAAUCCAGUCUCCCCUUUUUCUGCUGAAAGGGUCUGAAAGGGCCAGAAAUUCAAGGAAGGGGGUUUUUUGGGGGCUUGGUUUGUGGGAGAAGAAUCCAGGCUCCCCUUUUUCUGCAGGUCUGAAAUGGCCAGAAAUUCAAGGAAGGGUGUGUUUUGGGGGGGAUGGGUUUGUGGGAAAAGAAUCCAGGUUCCCCUUUUCCUGCAGGUCUGAAAUGGCCAGAAAUUUGAGGAAAGGGGGGGAAUUGGGGAGGGGGGGGG
This 2233-nucleotide long non-coding RNA is filed under the name Calidris pugnax (ruff). RNAcentral's name for it is "lncRNA (ENSCPUG00000018524.1)". Lineage: Eukaryota; Metazoa; Chordata; Aves; Charadriiformes; Scolopacidae. The record is from RNAcentral.